GGUGGCAUAGCCAAGUGGUUAAGGCAUAGGUCUGCAAAACCUUGAUCCCCCGGUUCAAAUCCGGGUGCCACCU
RNAcentral lists this transfer RNA (73 nucleotides) under Bacillus sp. LL01. RNAcentral's name for it is "tRNA-Cys". It matches the Rfam family "tRNA". From Rfam's summary of the family: Transfer RNA (tRNA) molecules are approximately 80 nucleotides in length. Lineage: Bacteria; Bacillati; Bacillota; Bacilli; Caryophanales; Bacillaceae. The record is from RNAcentral.